GCGCCGACUAUAGUCCGGUCAAGUAUGCGGGCCUCUCGAGCCCGUGACCCGGGUUCAAAUCCCGGCCGGAGCA
This 73-nucleotide transfer RNA is filed under the name Nitrososphaerota archaeon. RNAcentral describes it as "Thaumarchaeota archaeon tRNA-Glu". The stretch from base 7 to 65 matches the Rfam family "tRNA", at positions 9 to 63 of the family's 71-position model. Rfam says of the family: Transfer RNA (tRNA) molecules are approximately 80 nucleotides in length. Their secondary structure includes four short double-helical elements and three loops (D, anti-codon, and T loops). Lineage: Archaea; Thermoproteati; Nitrososphaerota. The record is from RNAcentral.